This 371-nucleotide ribosomal RNA is filed under the name uncultured organism. Its description in RNAcentral is "partial 16S ribosomal RNA". It matches the Rfam family "Bacterial small subunit ribosomal RNA", at positions 527 to 896 of the family's 1533-position model. The record is from RNAcentral.
CGAGAGUGCAAGCGUUAAUCGGAAUAACUGGGCGUAAAGCGCACGUAGGUGGAUAUUUAAGUCGGAUGUGAAAGCCCUAGGCUUAACCUAGGAACUGCAUCCGAUACUGGGUAUCUAGAGUAUAGUAGAGGGAAGUGGAAUUUCCGGUGUAGCGGUGAAAUGCGUAGAUAUCGGAAAGAACACCAGUGGCGAAGGCGGCUUCCUGGACUAAUACUGACACUGAGGUGCGAAAGCGUGGGGAGCAAACAGGGAUUAGAUACCCUGGUAGUCCACGCCGUCAACGAUGAGAACUAGACGUUGGGAGGGUAACCUCUUAGUGUCGAAGCUAACGCGUUAAGUUCUCCGCCUGGGGGAGUACGGCCGCAAGGUUA